GAGGGUAUAGCUCAGUGGUAGAGUGCAUGCCUAGCAUGCACAAGGUCCUGGGUUCAAUUCCCCAGUACCUCCA
This 73-nucleotide transfer RNA is filed under the name Camelus bactrianus (Bactrian camel). It matches the Rfam family "tRNA". From Rfam's summary of the family: Transfer RNA (tRNA) molecules are approximately 80 nucleotides in length. Their secondary structure includes four short double-helical elements and three loops (D, anti-codon, and T loops). Further hydrogen bonds mediate the characteristic L-shaped molecular structure. tRNAs have two regions of fundamental functional importance: the anti-codon, which is responsible for specific mRNA codon recognition, and the 3' end, to which the tRNAs corresponding amino acid is attached (by aminoacyl-tRNA synthetases). tRNAs cope with the degeneracy of the genetic code in two manners: having more than one tRNA (with a specific anti-codon) for a particular amino acid; and 'wobble' base-pairing, i.e. permitting non-standard base-pairing at the 3rd anti-codon position. Lineage: Eukaryota; Metazoa; Chordata; Mammalia; Artiodactyla; Camelidae. RNAcentral also lists the same sequence under 2 other names. The record is from Rfam by way of RNAcentral.